Molecule: ribosomal RNA, 774 nt
Filed under: uncultured Neocallimastigales
Lineage: Eukaryota; Fungi; Neocallimastigomycota; Neocallimastigomycetes; Neocallimastigales
Description: partial large subunit ribosomal RNA
Rfam family: Eukaryotic large subunit ribosomal RNA
Source: RNAcentral
UAUGUGAUCGUCUCUCGCAUAUCAAUAAGCGGAGGAAAAGAAACUAACAAGGAUUCCCCUAGUAACGGCGAGUGAAGCGGGAAGAGCUCAAAUUUGAAAUCUUAAAGGGUUUCCCUUUACGAAUUGUAGUUUAAAGAAGUGUUUUCUGUUGAGGUUUUGGUAAAAGUUCUUUGGAAUAGGACAUCAUAGAGGGUGAGAAUCCCGUAUUUGACCUUUACUUUCAACUUUGUGAUACACUUUCAAAGAGUCGGAUUGUUUGGGAAUGCAGUCCAAAAUGGGUGGUAAAUUUCAUCUAAAGCUAAAUAUUGGCGAGAGACCGAUAGCGAACAAGUACCGUGAGGGAAAGAUGAAAAGAACUUUGAAAAGAGAGUUAAACAGUACGUGAAAUUGUCAAAAGGGAAGCGUUUGACACCAGUGUUGUUUUUCUGAAAAUCAAUUAAAGAACUGUUUAUGCUAAGCUGUUUAGACUUUAUCAGCUAUCUGUUUAGUUUUGAGCUUCUCUUUAAUGCACUUUUCAGUUAACAAGUCAACAUCAAUUUCUUUUGCUGUAAAAAAGCUUGAGGAAGGUGGCUUGAGAUUCGUCUUAAGUGUUUAUAGCCUCUUGCCUAUGCAGUCGGAGAGAUUGAGGUCUGCAGCGUAGAUCCUUCGGGGCUAAAUGCAUUUGUGCUAAGUUAUAGCAUUUUAUAGACAACUUGUUGACUAUGAUUUGUCUUGUAGCUUACUCGCUUAUGUUAUUUUACCUACGCUUAGGAUGUUGAAGACUCUACAGAGAUA